Homo sapiens (human) is the source of this 1771-nucleotide long non-coding RNA. Ensembl annotates it as LYPLAL1 divergent transcript. Its record names the gene LYPLAL1-DT. The record is from Ensembl. NCBI's taxonomy places the organism in Eukaryota, Metazoa, Chordata, Mammalia, Primates, Hominidae.
UUUCACUUUGGGACUCGCACAGGAUGUUUGCAGCUCUUGAUAUACAGGAGUGUUAAGGGUCUUCAUAAACAGAAACCGCAAGGAACCUGGGAUCUGACAGCUGUUGGAGGAAUGCCUGUGAGGAAGGAGGAGGAACAGAAGAAUGCUUUGAUGUCUUAAAUGGUACAUCCAAACUUAAGUGAAAUAGAGCUGUGAGGACAUUUUGGGGAGAAGUGACCUAGAUAAGCACUGACUGUUGCAUUCAUCUCUCUUCUUGCUGAUUGUGAUGAUUUCCUGUGCCAUAGCCAUUCAAAGUCUGCCAAAAAAGGCCUUGCCUCCUGGAUGGCAUUUUUGAACCCACCCUGGGCCAGAGGGGAGCCCACUUCUUUGAAGACAGAAACACAGGACUGGCAACAUUUACCAUAAGCUGACUGAGCAGCCAUUGGGCCUUGAGUGAACAUUGGUGGUAGCCAGGCAGUACUUGUCUCAGUACUUGCCUCAGGCCUGGGGUGUCGGUGACCACAGGGAGAGCAUCCAUCUGCUUGAGGAAAGGAGAACAAAGAAAAUAAAGGGCUUAAUCUUGCACUUGAUUGCCAGCUCAGCCAUAGUAGAAUACAGCACCAAGUAAAUUCCUAAGGAUCCUGAUUCCAGGUCCUGGCUCCCAGAUGACAUUUUAGGACUUGUCUUGGGCUUAGGGGGAGCUCGUCAUACUGAAGGGAAAAACACAAGCCUGGCUGGAUUUGCCACCAGCUGAAUAAAGAGUGCUUGGGCCUUGAGUGAACAUUGGCAAUAGCCAAGGAGUGGUCACCAUGGACCUUAGGCAAGAAACCCGGUGCCGUGCUGGCUUUGGAUCUGACCCAGCAUAAUCUCACUGCUAGCAUGUAAUUUUCUUUCUCUACUUCUCUACAUUUGGAGGAUGGAAAUGUAGAUGUUCUUCCAUUGUGCCAGCCUCCUCAUUCUUCUUUCUCCAAUGCCGCAUCUUCCUGCAAACUUCCUGCCACAACUCAAACAACAGGAAAAUAAAUGAUCUGAAAUCCUCCUGAACUGCAGCCUACCUAUCGUGGUCUCUAUGGGUGCAAACUUCCUUCCAGAAGCUUGUUCAGCUGGCUAAAACAGGACAUUUGCCAAUGCAGCCAAAAGUUGGGUCUUAUACUGGCUACCUCCUAUGCAGAGUGAAAAACUUUUCUUUCUCCCACAGCCACAGACAUCGCUCCUCUUCCAGCUCAACAUCUUUCAAAGGGAUGGCUCUCAGUCCCGAAAUGAAAAGAAAAGGUGGCUUGGUGCAAAUCAUUCUCUUUAUCAGCAAAAGAAAUACCAAAGCCUGUGUCCUUCUGACAUAGUGAGCUGUCGAGGUAGUCCAGGGAAAAGAUGACAGUGAAUUGAGUUAUGGGAUGGCAAUGGAGACUGAAAAGAAUCUGUGUUUAUUAUAUGUAUAUAUAUCAUUAAGGUAGAACUAGUGGAUUUUCUCUGGCACUGCACAUGGGAAGCAAGUGAAGGAGAGUGAUCUAGAAUGACGCCACCAUUUUUGCCUGAGAAAUUCAGUACUCAGAGGUGUCUGUCAUUCAGAGAGAUGGAGGAAACAAGAAGAGGAGCAAGUUGGGGGAGAGGGUAAGCAGAAUCAAAAACUGUGUUGAUACAUUAACUUUAGGAUGCAUAGUAGACAUCAGAGUACAGAUGGAGUUUAGGAGCAAAGUUAUAUAGAGAGAUAAAUUUGAGAACCUGUAAUUCUUUUAUUUGUGGCAGAUAAUUAGACAAAUGAUUUCUAAAUAUUCCCAUGACUACUACAGAACAU